Sander lucioperca (pikeperch) is the source of this 730-nucleotide long non-coding RNA. RefSeq lists it as uncharacterized. NCBI's taxonomy places the organism in Eukaryota, Metazoa, Chordata, Actinopteri, Perciformes, Percidae. The transcript has 2 exons. The record is from RefSeq and is a predicted model, not a curated record.
GUAUCUUUAGAAGAUCAAGUCGGCCGCGGUGUGGACGGACAGUUAACAGCCACGCAGCGUAUACACUGUGUUCCAAAUUAUUAUGCAAAUUAUAUUUUUCACUGAAUUUCCUCCUAACUGACCUCCUAAUGCUGCAAAUUCAACAAAUGACCAUUUUCACUUCUUUACAACCUGUAAAAUGCUUUGAAACUCUGUUGUGCAUAAUAAUUUGGAACACAGCAGCUACAGGAUUUCAACCAGAGCCAGAAUCUCAAUGCUUUUCUGUCUUUCGCUUUAUGUGAACGUGCACCAAAUCUGCCUUUUCAUGGAAACUCUUUCAAAGGCAGCCUGUGAACUUCCUGCUAAAAUCCCCCAGAGACCAAGUGUAUAUAAUAUAUAAUAUAAUCACGGACAAAGUCGCACAUUAUUGUUUUAAAUCCCCAGAUAAUUAGGGGUGUCUGAGAGCUUAUAGAGCGAUUCUACUGUAUAAUAUCAAAUGACAGAAUCGGCUGACCUGGCUGCCAGACUGUGUAACUGAGAGGAAACGAAAGGAGCAGAGGAGAGAGCAGAGAGGGGAGGAAGGAAGAUAAGACUUAAAAAAAAGAAAGCUAUGUUAUGUUUUUGUGUUUUUUAAAUACUGUGAUGUUUGCUUGAACUGUCCGUUUGUGCAUGUGUGUGAGGAGCCAUAUCCCGUGUAAAUAUUGAUGAUCUAUCUAUUCUAUGUGCCUUAUUUUAUAGUGUUUAUAAUGUG